ACUCAAAUGAAUUGACGGGGGCCCGCACAAGCGGUGGAUCAUGUGGUUUAAUUCGAAGCAACGCGAAAAACCUUACCUGGGUUUGACAUCCUCAGACAGGUGUAGAGAUACAUCCUUGAUAGCAAUAUCACUGAGUGACAGGUGCUGCAUGGCUGUCGUCAGCUCGUGUGGUGACAUGUUGGGUUAAGUCCCGCAACGAGCGCAACCCUUGUCUUUAGUUGCCAGCAUUAAGUUGGGCUCUCUAAAGAGACUGCCGUGGUUAACACGGAGGAAGGUGGGGAUGACGUCAAGUCCUCAUGGCCUUUAUAUCCAGGGCGACACACGUGAUACAAUGGACGGUACAGAGGGAAGCCAAACCGCAAGGUGGAGCCAAUCUCAAAAAGCCGUUCUCAGUUCGGAUUGGAGUCUGCAACUCGACUCCAUGAAGUUGGAAUCGCUAGUAAUCGCGGAUCAGCACGCCGCGGUGAAUACGUUCCCGGGCCUUGUACACACCGCCCGU
Molecule: ribosomal RNA, 499 nt
Filed under: uncultured bacterium
Lineage: Bacteria
Description: partial 16S ribosomal RNA
Rfam family: Bacterial small subunit ribosomal RNA
Source: RNAcentral